CUUUAACUUUGAUUUUCUCGGCUUAGACAACGUUUAUUUUUAAAAUUACUUCGCCAAUGAACUCAUAAGAUGAGUCGUUUUUUAAGUCAUUUACAACAUUCGCGUCCGUGUUGUAUCGGAUAUACAAACUCUCGCCUUCGGCUCGAGUUUGUAUAUCCGAUACAACACGGCCGCUCAUGUUGUAAAUAGUACUUAUAACACU
Paramuricea clavata is the source of this 202-nucleotide non-coding RNA. The record is from the annotation of a GenBank genome assembly. NCBI's taxonomy places the organism in Eukaryota, Metazoa, Cnidaria, Anthozoa, Malacalcyonacea, Plexauridae.